AAGUUAUUAAACCUAAAGAGAAGAGAACUCACCAAGGUUGGAAUCUCAAAAGAAAUCAUUACCUAAUUGCUCAUCACCAAUGUUGAGAAAAACCUAGACAUAGUUUAUGAAGUCCAUGAAGUUAUUAAACCUAGACCUCUAACUCUUGGUCAAGAAUUCAAGUCAAACUAGUUGUUUCCCAAAAUGAAUUGAAAGAGUUAGAGGGUCUAGGUUUAAUAACUUCAUAGGUUUUCAUGGUUUCCUUAAGUUUCUUCUUCUCUUUCUUUUCUUCUUCUUCUUUCUUCUUCUUCUAAUACUACCUUCUUCAGCAAGUGCGUUCGCCAAUAGUUCUUC
RNAcentral lists this long non-coding RNA (333 nucleotides) under Trifolium pratense (red clover). RNAcentral's name for it is "long non-coding RNA (TPRA_LNC002020)". Lineage: Eukaryota; Viridiplantae; Streptophyta; Magnoliopsida; Fabales; Fabaceae. The record is from RNAcentral.